Molecule: ribosomal RNA, 466 nt
Filed under: uncultured bacterium
Lineage: Bacteria
Description: partial 16S ribosomal RNA
Rfam family: Bacterial small subunit ribosomal RNA
Source: RNAcentral
GAUGAACGCUGGCGGCGUGCUUAACACAUGCAAGUCGAACGGAAAGGCCCUGCUUGCAGGGUACUCGAGUGGCGAACGGGUGAGUAACACGUGGGUGAUCUGCCCUGUACUUUGGGAUAAGCCUGGGAAACUGGGUCUAAUACCGAAUAUGACAAUCGUUUGGAUGCGAUUGUGGAAAGCUUUUGCGGUAUGGGAUGAGCUCGCGGCCUAUCAGCUAGUUGGUGGGGUAAUGGCCUACCAAGGCGUCGACGGGUAGCCGGCCUGAGAGGGUGUACGGCCACAUUGGGACUGAGAUACGGCCCAGACUCCUACGGGAGGCAGCAGUGGGGAAUAUUGCACAAUGGGCGCAAGCCUGAUGCAGCGACGCCGCGUGGGGGAUGACGGCCUUCGGGUUGUAAACUCCUUUCGCAACCGACGAAGCCUUUUGGUGACGGUAGGUGGAGAAGAAGCACCGGCUAACUACGUG